GCGUGCUAGUGAAUGAAUUAACUCAGCAAGCUCUUCCUGACAGCUGUGAUAGCGUGCCAAGCACUGCAUUAGGGACUAGGGGUGGGGAUGAUGAAGGCAGGGGCUGCUCCUGUAGCUGAGAUCUGGGGUUGACCUUCGGAGUCAGUGUGAGGAGGUCAGAGAAUGACCGAUUUGGGUUUUAGCCUACUAACUGAUCACUGAGAGCAACCCCAUGAACAUGCUAAGCAGGAUUAAAUUUAUCAGUGUUGGGACAGCUCUGUGGAGUAGCUGGAGCCAUCCCUGCGUUUGCCGCCGGGGUUAGGCUCAGAGGAGGAAUGCAACUUCUCAGAGAUUUAUAGCCAGCUUGUGACAUAGCAUGGAGUUGGUGGUCUGCUAUUACAGAACCAUGGGAUUAAAAGUUUCAUAUUGGAAGUGCAGUGUGAGUGGAAGAAAGACCUUCAUUCUGGAGGAUGCUCUGCUUGGCCUGGAUGCUGCCCAUCAGAAGCCCCAGCAAGACUGUUUUCAGCAGGAAUUCCCCAGGUUUGAUGACAUCAUUCUGCUCGCUGUCCCAGUACUGAGUGUCCUCCAAGCCUCACUUUUCCCCCUGCGGUCCGGCAGAGAAUGGUGGCGUCACCCUAGAGCGAGGAUUUGCAGACCAACUGGAGUGUCUCCUUCCUGAGCAUUCAGCCUACAAUCCCAAGGGACUGAGUUGGCUCCAGUGCAGUAUACAUGGAAGUGGUACUUGCUCUUUGGGGCUUGGCCUCAGAACUAUCCUGGAUGGAGGUCAGAGCUUACCGUAUGGUCAGGUCUGUCUUCGCAUAGCCGUCGUACUGUGUGCUCCUCUGCAGUGCAUGCAUAUCCAGUUCAGGACUGCCACAAACCAGGAUUUCUACUUCUUCUGGACGAAGCAGCUAUCAAUAAUCACAAAAACCAUAAUUCAAAAUGAUAGUCUUGCCGGGCAGUGGCGGUGCCCUCCUUUAAUCCCAGCACUCGGGAGGCAGAGGCAGGCGGAUUUCUGAGUUCGAGGCCAGCCUGGUCUACAAAGUGAGUUCCAGGACAGCCAGGGCUGCACAGAGAAACCCUGUCUUGAAAAUCCAAAUUUAAAAAAAUGAUAGUCUUAAAUGAAAUUUGAAGUGUUUUUAUUGCAGAAUCAAAUCAUAGAAAUUAUGACACUGUCUCAGUAAAUAAAAUUACUUUUUUGUUGAAGAAAA
This 1190-nucleotide long non-coding RNA is filed under the name Mus musculus (house mouse). Its description in RNAcentral is "Hectd2, opposite strand". The record is from RNAcentral. Lineage: Eukaryota; Metazoa; Chordata; Mammalia; Rodentia; Muridae.